CUAUGGUAGUUCGCCGGCUGUUGCUGGUGACGUACUUCCGGCAGCCUGACCCUUGUGAGUUCUCGCACGCUGUACAGACAUGUCCUUUCCGUCCGAUCUGCCGCUGGAGACUUUGCAGGCUGCAGCGAGAAGCUCCGGCCUUGAGGAGGAAGAUGAGGGUGAUGAAGAGCUGGAAGAGACUUUAUCAGAGAGGCUCUGGGGACUGACGGAAAUGUUCCCUGAAAGUUUCCGAACUGUGGCUGGUACAUCUUUCGACUUCUCCGUUUGUGCUGCCAAGAAGUUGUACAGCUUUUCCCGCUCAGCAUUGUGGAUAGGAACCACUUCAUUCAUGAUCCUGGUUUUGCCAGUAGUGUUUGAAACAGAGAAACUGCAGAUGGAGCAGCAACAACAGCUACAACAAAGACAGAUACUCCUAGGCCCUUCUACUGGAAUGUCCGGUCCUGUCCCUCCACUUCCGGGAAAAGUGUAGAACACAAGCACCUUUAGUCGUUUAAAAAUUUUCUUCUUUUUUUUUUUUUUCUUGUUAAUUAUUUUGAUGGUUAAAGAAAACAUGGAAGACCAGUCUCCUUGACUAUCAUCCUCCUUGAGUGCUGUGCAUGGAAUUCAUCUUAUCUGCAAACUUUCUCUUUAAUAAAGAAGAAGAGGGCCAGAAUCAUGAAUGAUUUUCUGCAGAGAUAAGUUUAUACAGGAACGCCUUCAGCCGCUCUCUCUGUGUAACAGAUUCUGUGACUCUGGGGUGGAAGGGAUAACGCCUAUUAGAUGGUCACGCUUCCAUUGUGGAUGACAUACAGAUGGCCUCAGACAAGUGGCUGUUAAAUUAAAUGGUUUCUUCUCUCUUGCAUGGCAUUUCUAAACUUCUCUUUGUGCUCCAUGGACCCUACAAACAGCCUGUAAGCUUUACAUUGCAGCCUGCUUCUGCCUCUGUACUGUGAUAAGGGACAGCAUUCCACAAAGGGGUUCUGGAGUGGCCCAGGAGUUCAUGUUACAUAACCUGGAGCAAGGGCUCUUUGAUGUAUCUCGUUGGAAGACCUACUAUAGAUACAUUUCUGUAAUUCCAGAGGGGUCUUACGGGUUAAUCAGUGAGCAGGUUGCAGCUUAUGUCUCUAACUUGAUUUGGUGUUUUGUUAUCAAUAAUACAAAAAAUACAUUAUAUACUACCAUAUUCCGUGUUAGCUGUAAAAAACAUUAUUUUUGGAAUACUUCUUGUCCCUUUCCUCAGAAUGUGGCACAUUCCCAAAUGUAGCCUCACACUUUGAGCAUGCGAAAGGCUCACACAUGGAUUGCAACAUAAGCACUCAAGCUGCCUUAGGGCAGGACUCCUCGGACGAUUCUGGUGCGAGCCGACGCGCUGUGCAAAAACGCAGACGUCCCGUCGGAUGCGACGGAAAUAAGGUAAGAAAUUCUGUUGUCGGAUUGUUUCGCAGCGUUGAUGCAACACGACUGUUGGAUGCAGACGAUGCACGCUGUGUCUGCAUCCGACAGUCGUGUCGUAUCAGAUCGCGCCUGAAUCGUCCGUGGAGUCCUGCCCUUAGUUAUAAUGAUGCUGGGAAUAGCGUGCUGAAUGCUGAGGGUGUUGCAUUUAAGAAGCCUUAACUGCAGCAUGGAGUCAGCCUGACGACAGCACACACCAUGGAGAGGGAAGAUUUUAGUCUGUAAAUGAGUUCACGGCCAGUCGUUUAUUUUAUAAAUUCUAUACUGUGUUCAGACAUCCUAUGUCUGCAGGACUUUUAAUGCCUGGUGAUAUUGUGGAACUGGUUCAUUUGCCUGUUUUUAUUUCUCUUGUUUUUUUUCCACAAAUUAAAAAAGGUUCAAAUUAAA
Molecule: RNA transcript, 1818 nt
Organism: Xenopus laevis (African clawed frog)
Lineage: Eukaryota; Metazoa; Chordata; Amphibia; Anura; Pipidae
Gene: tomm22.S
Gene name: mitochondrial import receptor subunit TOM22 homolog
Exons: 5
Source: RefSeq, a predicted model, not a curated record